GGCCCGCCUAGCUCAAUCGGAUAGAGCGUCAGACUCUUAAGUUCUGAAGGCGGGUUCAUCCCCGAGUCA
This is a non-coding RNA of Dentipellis sp. KUC8613, 69 nucleotides long. NCBI's taxonomy places the organism in Eukaryota, Fungi, Basidiomycota, Agaricomycetes, Russulales, Hericiaceae. The record is from the annotation of a GenBank genome assembly.